GUCUUUGUAAAUAGAAGUAGUGAGAUAGAGAGUGAGGCAAGAGUUUGGAGGAAGUAUCAGCCUAUUGGUGCUCUCUCACUAUGGUUUGUACCUUGGUGGAAUCAAGUUCUACUUGAGCUUGCUUUACAGAUUUCUCUAGUAACCAACUUCUAAUUCAAGUAAGUAUAAUGGUUAUAUUAUUCAUCAGGUUUGUGAAUCUUUUUGAGUGCUUCAAUCCUUAUAGCUCUUGGGUUAAAGUGAUAUUCAUAGUGUAAGCAUGGUGCUAAGACCUCGGUUACUCAUAGAUGCACAAUGCAUUCCGGAUUGGUGGUAUAUAUAUAGCAAGAGUGAUAGUCUCGUUGAGUCCUUUGUAGUCCACCUUACGUCUAUAGGCCCAGUAGAACACAGUUGUGGCAAAAUGCAUCCUAUGUUGGUGUCUUUCCCUAGUAAUGUUCUCAAUUAAGCAAUAGAAGGCACAACUUACCCAAGUUAGAAUUAGAGAACCUUAGUGAUCCCCUCUAUGCUCCUCUUUAUCUUAAGCCUUGUUGGUACUCCUAGUUAAGCUAGACUUAGUUAAAACUUGCACAUGUUUCCCUGAGUUCGAUAUUUUGAAUACUUUCGAGUGA
Molecule: long non-coding RNA, 605 nt
Filed under: Sorghum bicolor (sorghum)
Lineage: Eukaryota; Viridiplantae; Streptophyta; Magnoliopsida; Poales; Poaceae
Description: long non-coding RNA (SBIC_LNC010154)
Source: RNAcentral